RNAcentral lists this long non-coding RNA (573 nucleotides) under Cyanistes caeruleus (blue tit). RNAcentral's name for it is "lncRNA (ENSCCEG00000010380.1)". The record is from RNAcentral. Lineage: Eukaryota; Metazoa; Chordata; Aves; Passeriformes; Paridae.
AACAUUUUGCAAGGAACAAUAUGCCUUGGGUAAAAUGAAAUGUUUGAUAUUAAAGGUACCAUCUUGACCUUGGUGAAUUUCAGCAACACCUUCAAGAACUCGUUUGUUCUACAUUUGUGGAUUGGCAAAAGAAGAGACAGCUGUCUUUUUGAACAGGGAACAUCCUGCCUUUUGUAGAAGGAAAUUCAGAAAUUGGUACAGAACAGACUCAAGCAACAUCAUGGAUGACUGAGCAGAACUGUGGGAAUAUCUAAUAUUUUUUAGCUUGUCAAAACUUUGAGUCCAAAUUUUUAAACCACUUCCUAGAAGCAAAGAAAUGUGCAAAACCAAUGUCAAGACUUGGAACUGCUAUUAAUGUAGUGUUAGAAAAUUGUUACCUUUGCAAAUUUUGUACUUUGGGGCAGUGACCUUGAAGGCUUGAAUGAGGUUUUAUUCAUCAAAGUGGAAAACACGUAAGUAUUAUGAAAUACCUAUGAUAAUCUAUGCUUGUAUAAAAUGGGAAGUAGUGUGAAGAAUCAGGAAAGUUAUUUUAUCUUUGUUUAUAGUGUAGAUACUGGAAUUCUGUGUACUGUU